Molecule: ribosomal RNA, 821 nt
Filed under: uncultured bacterium
Lineage: Bacteria
Description: bacterial SSU rRNA
Rfam family: Bacterial small subunit ribosomal RNA
Source: RNAcentral
CCGGAUUUACUGGGUGUAAAGGGCGUGUAGGCGGGGAUGCAAGUCAGAUGUGAAAUUCCGAAGCUCAACUUCGGCGCUGCCUCUGAAACUGUAUCUCUUGAGUGCUGGAGAGGAAAGCGGAAUUCCUAGUGUAGCGGUGAAAUGCGUAAAUAUUAGGAGGAACACCAGUGGCGAGGGCGGCUUUCUGGACAGUAACUGACGCUGAGGCGCGAAAGCGUGGGGAGCGAACAGGAUUAGAUACCCUGGUAGUCCACGCCGUAAACGAUGGAUACUAGGUGUGGGAGGUAUCGACCCCUUGCGUGCCGCAAUUAACACAAUAAUUAUCCCACCUGGGGAGUACGGCCGCAUGGUUGAAACUCAAAGGAAUUGACGGGGGCCCGCACAAGCGAUGGAGUAUGUGGAUUAGUUCAAAGCAACGCAAACAACCUUACCAGGGCUUGACAUAUGAUUGACGUAUCUAGAGAUAGGUAUUUCCUUCCGUACAAUGGAUACCUGUGGGGCAUGGUUGUCCUCAGCUCGUGUCGUGAGAGGUUGGGUUAAGUCCCGCAACGAGCGCUACCCCUGAUGUUACAUGCCAUCAUUAAGUUGGGUACUCUAACGAGAUUGCCGGUGACAAAUCGGAAGGAGGGUGGGGGACGACGUCAAAUCAUCGUGCCUCUUAUGUCCUGGGCUACACACGUACUAUGAUGGGCUAUUAAAGAGGGCAGCGCAGCCAUGGAGGUGGCUACACAUCAUCCACACAUAGUCCCCAGGUUCAGAUUGUAUGCUGAAAACUCGCCUACAUGAAGGUCUGGAACUGGCUAGUCAUGGCAUCGGUCAGC